GAGUAUUGAUCAUGGUUCAGGACGAACGCUGGCGGCGUGCCUAAUACAUGCAAGUCGAGCGAGCCGAACUAAUUGAUUACCUUCGGGUAUGAAGUUAGGGAAGCGAGCGGCGGAUGGGUGAGUAACACGUGGGUAACCUACCCUAUAGUCUGGGAUACCACUUGGAAACAGGUGCUAAUACCGGAUAAAAGGAGAGAUCACAUGAUUUCUUUUUGAAAGGCGGCGUAAGCUGUCGCUAAAGGAUGGACCUGCGGUGCAUUAGCUAGUUGGUAAGGUAACGGCUUACCAAGGCAACGAUGCAUAGCCGAGUUGAGAAACUGAUCGGCCACAUUGGGACUGAGACACGGCCCAAACUCCUACGGGAGGCAGCAGUAGGGAAUCUUCCACAAUGGACGCAAGUCUGAUGGAGCAACGCCGCGUGAGUGAAGAAGGUUUUCGGAUCGUAAAGCUCUGUUGUUGGUGAAGAAAGAUAGUGAGAGUAACUGCUCAUUAUUUGCCGGUAAUCAACCAGAAAGUCACGGCUAACUACGUGCCAGCAGCCGCGGUAAUACGUAGGUGGCAAGCGUUGUCCGGAUUUAUUGGGCGUAAAGCGAGCGCAGGCGGAAAGAUAAGUCAGAUGUGAAAGCCCUCGGCUUAACCGAGGAAUAGCAUCGGA
RNAcentral lists this ribosomal RNA (655 nucleotides) under uncultured Lactobacillus sp. Its description in RNAcentral is "bacterial SSU rRNA". It matches the Rfam family "Bacterial small subunit ribosomal RNA", at positions 9 to 630 of the family's 1533-position model. Lineage: Bacteria; Bacillati; Bacillota; Bacilli; Lactobacillales; Lactobacillaceae. The record is from RNAcentral.